Molecule: long non-coding RNA, 908 nt
Filed under: Androctonus crassicauda
Lineage: Eukaryota; Metazoa; Arthropoda; Arachnida; Scorpiones; Buthidae
Source: RNAcentral
CUCCACAGGGAUGGGUAGCUUGUAAAAGGGCAUGUUUCAGCCAGCCGCUUAAGUGUUCUUCCUGAAUGGAAAGUGACGUCAUCUAUUGACGAAAAAAAUCAUUUUUUUCAGAAAAUAGUAGAUCAGGAUAGCAUGCAGUAAUAGAGAUUCAUAUUAAUUUCUGAAUAGAUAAACAGCAUCUAUUAUGAUGUUUAUAUCCGAGACAUUCAUAGAUAUCUUCAGAUAUAUUAGUUCGAAUCCAUUGUACUAAUUUUCAUAAAAUUUAGUACUUGAGAUCUUUAUAGAAAUCUAUCUAGCAAAUUUCAUUUUGAUUCAAAUUUUGUUAUAUAACGGUCAUUGAAUGGAAAGGCAAUGGAUUCGGCUGACAUGAUAAAUAGUUUCAAGGGAGGGAUCAGAAACUCGAACCCGGAUCUUGCAGACUAAAAGAGCGAAGGAACACCGUUGCUGGUGAGAUUAGGCUGAAUUACACUGCUGAAUCAUUCAAGGAAUAUAUUUGGCGGCCAUCAUCUGCACAGUCCAUUACAGGCUGAUAUCAGUGGUAGGCAGCCAGGAAUUCACCUGACUUUUUUUUUUUGCAUAUUUUACGUCCCUUUCCAAUCAGAGAGAUUAUUAAGGGGAACCUCCAAUUACGAGCUGUACCCACACCUGUAGAAGGGGCCAGAUGAUGAGCGAACCGCCCAUCCGGCGCCCUCCACAGGUGGGGAGGCCCGGAGGGAGCCCAUCCGGAGUGGGGAGGCCCGGCGAUUCCCGAAAUCUUUUCGGGGAUCGCCGGGUAGGGCCCAGCACCCCGAAAAAACUUUUCAGGAGUUACCAGAUCCACGCAGGAGUUACCAGAUCCACGCAGGAGUUACCAUUUUCAGGAGUUAUUUAUUUAUUUAUUUAAAUAAAGAUUAGAGGGCAUACUCGAU